GUAGCCUAGCCGCUUCGAGGUUCUGCGGCCCUGGCUGCAGCUAAGACGGGAAUACGGUUCAAGCCGUGGCUGCCCCCGCAACUGUAAGCGUUAACGGCAUCGGCCGUGCCACUGCCCCGGGCGGGAAGGCGUCGAUGCUGCCGGCAGGCGUGCCGGCACAGCGCGAGCCAGGAGACCUGCCUCGAACAGUUUCCGACU
This 198-nucleotide non-coding RNA is filed under the name Pseudomonas putida. The record is from RNAcentral. Lineage: Bacteria; Pseudomonadati; Pseudomonadota; Gammaproteobacteria; Pseudomonadales; Pseudomonadaceae.